AAGACUAUACUUUCAGGAAUCAUUUCUAUACUAUGUGACUAAAGAAGUUUCUCUGAUCAUGUAGAGCACCCGAAGCCAUGAGGAGGAGCCAUAGCAUCCUCUCCUGAGCUUGACGCCUACUUUAGGUGUUGCUUCUGCGACUGCCUUUGGCUAUUGAUGAACGUUUUUUUUCGUCCUUUGGAAGGGGUAGAGGGAGAGAAUGCAGUCUGAGGGGU
Small nucleolar RNA from Suncus etruscus (white-toothed pygmy shrew), 215 nucleotides. RefSeq annotates it as small nucleolar RNA U3. Lineage: Eukaryota; Metazoa; Chordata; Mammalia; Eulipotyphla; Soricidae. The record is from RefSeq and is a predicted model, not a curated record. The transcript has a single exon.